RNAcentral lists this transfer RNA (69 nucleotides) under Deltaproteobacteria bacterium CG_4_8_14_3_um_filter_45_9. RNAcentral's name for it is "tRNA-OTHER". It matches the Rfam family "tRNA". From Rfam's summary of the family: Transfer RNA (tRNA) molecules are approximately 80 nucleotides in length. Their secondary structure includes four short double-helical elements and three loops (D, anti-codon, and T loops). Further hydrogen bonds mediate the characteristic L-shaped molecular structure. tRNAs have two regions of fundamental functional importance: the anti-codon, which is responsible for specific mRNA codon recognition, and the 3' end, to which the tRNAs corresponding amino acid is attached (by aminoacyl-tRNA synthetases). tRNAs cope with the degeneracy of the genetic code in two manners: having more than one tRNA (with a specific anti-codon) for a particular amino acid; and 'wobble' base-pairing, i.e. permitting non-standard base-pairing at the 3rd anti-codon position. The record is from RNAcentral. Lineage: Bacteria; Deltaproteobacteria.
GGGGCUAUGGUGUAAUUGGGAGCGCGGUCGGAUCGACAGGUAGAGGUUCGAUCCCUCUCAGCUCCACCA